GACGAACGCUGGCGGCGUGCUUAACACAUGCAAGUCGAACGGAAAGGCCUUUUCGGAGGUACUCGAGUGGCGAACGGGUGAGUAACACGUUGGUGAUCUGCCCUGCACUCUGGGAUAAGCCUGGGAAACUGGGUCUAAUACCGGAUAGGACCGCACUUUAGUGUGUGUGGUGGAAAGUUUUUUCGGUGUAGGAUGAGCCCGCGGCCUAUCAGCUUGUUGGUGGGGUAAUGGCCUACCAAGGCGGCGACGGGUAGCCGGACUGAGAGGUUGGUCGGCCACAUUGGGACUGAGAUACGGCCCAGACUCCUACGGGAGGCAGCAGUGGGGAAUAUUGCACAAUGGGCGCAAGCCUGAUGCAGCGACGCCGCGUGGGGGAGGACGGCCUUCGGGUUGUAAACUCCUUUCGCCAGGGACGAAGCGUUUUGUGACGGUACCUGGAGAAGAAGCACCGGCUAACUACGUG
This 463-nucleotide ribosomal RNA is filed under the name uncultured bacterium. RNAcentral's name for it is "partial 16S ribosomal RNA". It matches the Rfam family "Bacterial small subunit ribosomal RNA", at positions 28 to 507 of the family's 1533-position model. The record is from RNAcentral.